Molecule: ribosomal RNA, 463 nt
Filed under: uncultured bacterium
Lineage: Bacteria
Description: partial 16S ribosomal RNA
Rfam family: Bacterial small subunit ribosomal RNA
Source: RNAcentral
GACGAACGCUGGCGGCGUGCUUAACACAUGCAAGUCGAACGGUAAGGCCCUUUCGGGGGUACACGAGUGGCGAACGGGUGAGUAACACGUGGGUGAUCUGCCCUGCACUUUGGGAUAAGCCUGGGAAACUGGGUCUAAUACCGGAUAGGACUACGCGAUGCAUGUCGUGUGGUGGAAAGCUUUUGCGGUGUGGGAUGGGCCCGCGGCCUAUCAGCUUGUUGGUGGGGUGAUGGCCUACCAAGGCGACGACGGGUAGCCGGCCUGAGAGGGUGUCCGGCCACACUGGGACUGAGAUACGGCCCAGACUCCUACGGGAGGCAGCAGGGGGGAAUAUUGCACAAUGGGCGCAAGCCUGAUGCAGCGACGCCGCGUGGGGGAUGACGGCCUUCGGGUUGUAAACCCCUUUCAGCACAGACGAAGCGUAAGUGACGGUAUGUGCAGAAGAAGCACCGGCCAACUACGU